This 260-nucleotide ribosomal RNA is filed under the name uncultured Glomus. RNAcentral describes it as "partial 18S ribosomal RNA". It matches the Rfam family "Eukaryotic small subunit ribosomal RNA", at positions 624 to 886 of the family's 1831-position model. The record is from RNAcentral. Lineage: Eukaryota; Fungi; Glomeromycota; Glomeromycetes; Glomerales; Glomeraceae.
AAGCUCGUAGUUGAAUUUCGGGAUCAAUAUGUUGGUCGUGCCAUUGGUACGCACUGGCAUUAUUGGUUUCUACCUUCUGAAGAACCCUCGAUGUCAUUAAUUUGGUGUCUUGGGGAAUCAGGACUGUUACUUUGAAAAAACUUAGAGUGUUUAAAGCAAGCUCGCGCUUGAAUACAUUAGCAUGGAAUAAUGAAAUAGGACGUUUGAUUCUAUUUUGUUGGUUUCUAGGAUCGACGUAAUGAUUAAUAGGGAUAGUUGGG